UGGGCCUUUCUUCCUUAUUUCCUGAUAACCCCCUACAUAAACAGAUAAACAACAAAACUCGUGGAAUUCUGUCAUAUCAAACACUAAUUCUAGGUGUUGUUUGUAUAAUGGUCCUUUCCCUUGUUUAUUUGAUAAGUAAAAUUGAUACUUAAGAACCGUCAACAAACACCCCCAUACUUAGGCUUUUACUCGUCCUCGAGAAAAGGAUGGUUAAGAAAAAUAUCUGGGGUUAAAACAUUGUAAAGCAUUUUCUUCAUACCUGCAGGGUGUUGUAAAAAUUUCACUGUGUACCGUAGUCAGGGAAAUAUAUGAUUAAGAGUAGAUGUCCUUUCUUCUCAAUCCUGUCACUUGGAGUUUUUGUAUAUUUUUGAAAAGAAAUUUUAGCAUACCUUUAUCCUCAUAGGUUCUCUCAGGUCACUCAUUAUCUUUUAUAUCUCACUGAAGUUGUUUUAAGUUGCAAAAAUUCUCAAGCAUACUUACCAUGCAUUUAUUACCUGAUCAAAACGGGAUCCGAGGAGGGGAAUGUCAUACUCUUAGAUCAAAGACUUUGGAAGUUAAAAACUUGUCAACUCUUGCUGGCAUAUUGCUUAUUAGAGGGACCAUGGGCUAUCAUUUUCUUUCUUUUCUAUUUUUUUUUAGGUGGAUACCGAGGUACCCCUAAUUCUACUGCCGAACACUUGUCCAUUUUUUCUACGAGGUUGUCGAGCACUUGCUCCUUUUUAUUUCCUCGAAAUAUCCUUAUUUUUGCAUAGCCCAUGCCUCUAACGCAAUAAUACUUCGGAAGAGUGAAUCUAUCUGAAUAAAUGUCUUGAUCUUAGGAGUAUGAUAAAUCUCUCAACAAGCGUCUAACUCAUUUUGAACAAACUCAAUAUAGAGCAGAUAGCUUUUAUAAUUAUUAAUAUUUUUAGGUUUAGUAGGCAUAUAAAACAUUGAGCAUGGUAGCUAUAAUUUUUGAAAUAAAUUCUCCAAGCAGCAAUGAUAUCAAGAAUAAGAUACUCAUACUCUACCAUCUCACAUUCCACAAUGACUUAAGUAACACAGGGUUUUAAAAUGAUUUCUCAAUAAUUGCAGGUUUUCAGGAAAUAUCACAGAGUGAGAUUAAUCAUGAUUAGAAACAUUUUAAUCUUUUAAUUUAUCAUGUCGAAGACAAUAUUCUGCAUAAUCCAAGAUAUAUGUGUGUAAAGUGUGCAGAGUAUGUACCUGGAUCAUGGAGUGGUGUAGUCGAAGUGUGUUUGGCAUGUCGAGGGAUCUCCCCCAUACUUGUUUUCUCCUUUCUUGCAUAAAAAUAAAGUAGAGAAACACAAGACAUAAUAAUAAUAAUCUUUAUUAAUCUCGAGGCAUUUAUUACAAAUGACUAGUAAUGAACUGAAGCUAAUAGUAAAUCUAAACCGAAUUUAAAGAUAAAUAACUAAGAUGCAUUGCCUCAAGAUCUAAUUUAGAUAACUUAGUGGCGCUCUAACUCCCUGA
Molecule: long non-coding RNA, 1467 nt
Filed under: Sorghum bicolor (sorghum)
Lineage: Eukaryota; Viridiplantae; Streptophyta; Magnoliopsida; Poales; Poaceae
Description: long non-coding RNA (SBIC_LNC014140)
Source: RNAcentral